RNAcentral lists this long non-coding RNA (587 nucleotides) under Elaeis guineensis (African oil palm). RNAcentral describes it as "long non-coding RNA (EGUI_LNC032270)". Lineage: Eukaryota; Viridiplantae; Streptophyta; Magnoliopsida; Arecales; Arecaceae. The record is from RNAcentral.
GUUGUGGUAGGCUUGGGUUUCAGUUAGUGACAGGGUUGGGGUUAAGUUAGGUUAGGAUUAAUACUGGGUUCGAUUAGUGUUAGUAUCAGAAUUGAGUUACAGAUCUAACCAAGGUGAGGGGUGGGGUUGAGUUAGGAUUGGAUUAGGGUUAGGAUUAGAAUCAGGCUAGAGUUUGGCUUGGGGCAAGGGUUAGAGAGGAAUUAGGGUUAGGGUUUGGUUAGAUCUAGGGUUCACAGGAGGGUUAGCAGUAGGGUUCGAUUGAGGGUUAGUGAGAAAUUAGGGUUAGGGUUUGGUUACGUUUAGGAUUUUAAAAAGUGGUAGCAGUGGGUUCGAUUCUUAAGCGUUAGAGUUAGGAUGAGAUUAGUGUUAGGUUAGAUCUAGGGUUAGGGUUAGGAUGGAAUUAGGUUUAGGGUUCGUUCGAUUGUCGGAGAACUCAGAGAGAAGAGGGAGAUGGAAAAAAAUUAAAAAAAAAGAGGUGGGAAACGUUACCUGUGAAAGCUGAGAGGCAAGAUUCGUGCUCGGUUAGCAUCAUCGAUGGAGAACGGACAAAGGAGGUCGGAGGAUGGAAGGAACAACAUGAAAUAUAG